This 253-nucleotide ribosomal RNA is filed under the name uncultured bacterium. Its description in RNAcentral is "partial 16S ribosomal RNA". It matches the Rfam family "Bacterial small subunit ribosomal RNA", at positions 524 to 776 of the family's 1533-position model. The record is from RNAcentral.
UACGGAGGAUGCAAGCGUUAUCCGGAAUGAUUGGGCGUAAAGCGUCCGCAGGUGGCAAUGUAAGUCUGCUGUCAAAGCGUCUGGCUCAACCAGAUAAAGGCAGUGGAAACUACAUAGCUAGAGUAAGGUAGGGGUAGAGGGAAUUCCUGGUGUAGCGGUGAAAUGCGUAGAGAUCAGGAAGAACACCGGUGGCGAAAGCGUUCUGCUAGACCUGUACUGACACUGAGGGACGAAAGCUAGGGGAGCGAAUGGG